This 482-nucleotide ribosomal RNA is filed under the name uncultured bacterium. RNAcentral's name for it is "partial 16S ribosomal RNA". It matches the Rfam family "Bacterial small subunit ribosomal RNA", at positions 30 to 507 of the family's 1533-position model. The record is from RNAcentral.
AUUGAACGCUGGCGGCAUGCCUUACACAUGCAAGUCGAACGGUAACGGGCCUUCGGGUGCCGACGAGUGGCGAACGGGUGAGUAAUACAUCGGAACGUGCCCGAUCGUGGGGGAUAACGAGGCGAAAGCUUUGCUAAUACCGCAUACGAUCUACGGAUGAAAGCAGGGGACCGCAAGGCCUUGCGCGGACGGAGCGGCCGAUGGCAGAUUAGGUAGUUGGUGGGAUAAAAGCUUACCAAGCCGACGAUCGGUAGCUGGACUGAGAGGAUGAUCAGCCACACUGGGACUGAGACACGGCCCAGACUCCUACGGGAGGCAGCAGUGGGGAAUUUUGGACAAUGGGCGCAAGCCUGAUCCAGCCAUGCCGCGUGCAGGAUGAAGGCCUUCGGGUUGUAAACUGCUUUUGUACGGAACGAAAAGCCUUCUUUUAAUACAGGAGGGUCAUGACGGUACCGUAAGAAUAAGCACCGGCUAACUACGUG